This is a non-coding RNA of Acanthosepion pharaonis, 113 nucleotides long. NCBI's taxonomy places the organism in Eukaryota, Metazoa, Mollusca, Cephalopoda, Sepiida, Sepiidae. The record is from the annotation of a GenBank genome assembly.
AUACGGCCAUAUCAGGUUGAAACACCGGUUCCUGUACGACCACCGAACUUAAGUAGCGUCAAGCCUGUCAGUACCUAGAUGGCUGACCGCUUGGGAAUACCAAGUGCUGUAAG